This 504-nucleotide ribosomal RNA is filed under the name uncultured bacterium. RNAcentral describes it as "partial 16S ribosomal RNA". It matches the Rfam family "Bacterial small subunit ribosomal RNA", at positions 28 to 506 of the family's 1533-position model. The record is from RNAcentral.
GACGAACGCUGGCGGCGUGCCUAAUACAUGCAAGUAGAACGCACAGUUUAUACCGUAGCUUGCUACACCAUAGACUGUGAGUUGCGAACGGGUGAGUAACGCGUAGGUAACCUGCCUGGUAGCGGGGGAUAACUAUUGGAAACGAUAGCUAAUACCGCAUAAUAUUAAUUAUUGCAUGAUAAUUAAUUGAAAGGUGCAAUUGCACCACUACCAGAUGGACCUGCGUUGUAUUAGCUAGUAGGUGAGGUAACGGCUCACCUAGGCGACGAUACAUAGCCGACCUGAGAGGGUGAUCGGCCACACUGGGACUGAGACACGGCCCAGACUCCUACGGGAGGCAGCAGUAGGGAAUCUUCGGCAAUGGACGAAAGUCUGACCGAGCAACGCCGCGUGAGUGAAGAAGGCUUUCGGAUCGUAAAGCUCUGUUGUAAGAGAAGAACGGGUGUGAGAGUGGAAAGUUCACACUGUGACGGUAUCUUACCAGAAAGGGACGGCUAACUACGU